UUCUUUUUUUUUUUUUUUUUUUACUUUUUUUUUUUCAAAGCAAGCAAUUAGGGUUUGUAAAUAACUAUGAGUGUAAAUUUUCUUAUAUUAAUCUGCCUAAUGAAAGUUCAAGGAAGUGUUUUGCUCGCCCGCUCUGUGUCUCAUAAUAAUUUAAGUAUGCCUUUUGUCUUAUCUUUAUAUACCCUUUGUCUUAUUUCUGCUAUUUCUUUGGUUUGAUUAGCCAGAUAUAAAUUAAAAAUUCGAAAAAUAGUGGAAGAAAAAUCGAAGUUUGAAAUAGAUUUGAGUUAUUAUGUCUCUAUAUUCCCAUUUCUUGUUUCUGACACAGAAAUAAAGGAAAAUGAAAUUGAGCCUCCAUAUGAUAAGGUAUUUAAAAUUGAUAUUAUGUUAUAAUUUCAUGAAUUUCGUUUGAAAGAAGUAUCGGCAAAUUCAAUAAUAUUUUUAAAUUGCGUCAGGAAUCUCUUUACAAUGCAGAAGGAACUGCCUGCCUGCCUGCUGCAGUGUUAAUAGGGGGUAUAAUUUGAGAAAAGGGAUUAGUUUUAUUUUUGUAUCUAUGAGUUUAAUGCUCUUUAUUUAACUUAAAUAUACUAUUUUCUCACCACUCGCAUGUCGUUUUGUUCAAUUAUUAUUUUUUUUUUAUGGUGGGUUGGGACAGACUCUUGAAAUCCCCUAAAUGGACAAUCGGCAUUAUUGACUCUUGUGGUGAAGGCAGUUGUGUAAAACGGGUAGAGCCUUUGACGAAAUGGUAUUUACGACCCCUAAUUUUCUUUGAAAGUGAAACCUGUAUCCAUCAGCUUCUAUUUUAAUGACUUAUGCUUGAAAUCUGACUUGAACUGUUCCUAAAGCUUAUCAAAUGCACCAAUAAUUAGGUGCUUGAUAGUUUAUAUGGUUUA
Molecule: unclassified non-coding RNA, 890 nt
Filed under: Hevea brasiliensis (rubber tree)
Lineage: Eukaryota; Viridiplantae; Streptophyta; Magnoliopsida; Malpighiales; Euphorbiaceae
Source: RNAcentral